Small nucleolar RNA from Ornithorhynchus anatinus (platypus), 138 nucleotides. The record is from RefSeq and is a predicted model, not a curated record. Lineage: Eukaryota; Metazoa; Chordata; Mammalia; Monotremata; Ornithorhynchidae.
CCCCUCUCAGAAUCACAUCUGGAGAGUUUCUAGUACUCUAUCAUUCUUGGCUAUGGGAGGGAGAGUUAAACAGAGGCAUAUCAAUUCCAUUCCUAGCUUGGACAGUGGCUAGUGAGUGGAAGGCAAUUGGCUACAAGU